RNAcentral lists this long non-coding RNA (240 nucleotides) under Elaeis guineensis (African oil palm). RNAcentral describes it as "long non-coding RNA (EGUI_LNC048762)". The record is from RNAcentral. Lineage: Eukaryota; Viridiplantae; Streptophyta; Magnoliopsida; Arecales; Arecaceae.
AUGGAGAACAUCAAUGUGCCAUUUUUUUUAUUUGAUGAAAGUAUUAAAUUAUAUCCUCUUUGCAUGCUUAUUUUUAUUUUAUCGAUCUCAGCAAGGUGAUUCUUGGGUUUGGAUUCUAACUCGAUCGUUUUAUUUGAUAAAGCUAUUGAUUUAUAUAUUUUUAAAAUUUUAAAAAUUAUUUUUUACUAUGUGGCUAGAACCCAACAGAGGUAUCAGAUCCACCCUUGUCUAAUUCGAUCA